AGAAUCAACGCUGGCGGCGUGCCUAACACAUGCAAGUCGAACGAGAAAGUGGAGCAAUCCAUGAGUACAGUGGCGCACGGGUGAGUAACACGUGACUACCUACCCUCGAGUGGGGAAUAAACCUCGGGAAACCGGGGCUAAUACCGCAUAACAUCUACGGAUCAAAUGCGAAAGCAGCUUGAGGAGGGGGUCGCGGCCGAUUAGCUAGUUGGUGAGGUAAUGGCCCACCAAGGCAAUGAUCGGUAGCCGGCCUGAGAGGGCGCACGGCCACACUGGAACUGAAACACGGUCCAGACUCCUACGGGAGGCAGCAGUGGGGAAUUUUGCGCAAUGGGGGAAACCCUGACGCAGCAACGCCGCGUGGAGGAUGAAGCCCCUUGGGGUGUAAACUCCUUUCGAUCGGGACGAUUAUGACGGUACCGGAAGAAGAAGCCCGGCUAACUUCGUGCCAGCAGCCGC
Molecule: ribosomal RNA, 459 nt
Filed under: uncultured bacterium
Lineage: Bacteria
Description: SSU rRNA
Rfam family: Bacterial small subunit ribosomal RNA
Source: RNAcentral